GACAUUUCAAACUCUGUUUCUUCCAGGCACCUCUGACAAGUCCAUAAAGACAUUCUGAACCCACUGAGGCAAAAGCAGCCAGAAGAGACAUAUUUGUAGUUCUGCCUCAGACCUUGGCAAGGACCAGUCUUGACCUUCUUGGAGCUUCAGUUGGUGACUUGCCUCUUGGAGGUGGUUUUGGACUGGGACUUCAGCUUUGAUUUGGGACCUUGGCUUACUGGACUGCUCCUGGAUCUUCUCCUUUGGACUUCAUCUUGGAACUCAAGAGUCAACAGACCUGACUUUCAUCCUUGUUUGAUACUGAAUUGA
This 309-nucleotide long non-coding RNA is filed under the name Monodelphis domestica (gray short-tailed opossum). Its description in RNAcentral is "lncRNA (ENSMODG00000040223.1)". The record is from RNAcentral. Lineage: Eukaryota; Metazoa; Chordata; Mammalia; Didelphimorphia; Didelphidae.